GCCGCGCGGCCGGCGGCGCAGGGAGCGCCGCCGCCGCGGAUGGCCCGGGCAAGGGCGGCGCGGCGCGGCCGAUUGCUAGCGAGGACGACGGCGCGCGUGUGCUGCAUCGGGGAUCCGCUAAUGGCAACCUUUUGGAGAUGCAGAACCGCUUCACCCGUGCACAGACCCGGGUUAGUUCGAGGUUGACCUGAGCUGGAGCGGCCGAGAGCAGCAACGUGCUGGGCGAGGCGCUCUCGGCUCUUCCUCCUACUCCAACGCCGCUCCUCCGUGCAAGCAGCCGGCAGCGCCAGUUCAGAGAUCUGGUGAAUUAGUUACAAAGGUUGGUUUCAAUGCUGAGAAUGAGAUAAUACACACCCUUGCAUUCUUAGCUGCUGCCAUGGUUUGGUCACAGACGCAAUAUGCUCAAAAACUCUGGGCUGCUACAUCGAUCUCGGUUAAUGGAGCGGAGGAAAUAUAUGAAUGCUUCAUAGUUCUGAAAAACGAUGUCAUAGCUGAGCAAGUCAAGGUCCUGAAAAGGUUCAUGACAUUGCAUCUCACUAUGAUUGUGGAACAAGAAGAAAGUACAAAAGAAUGCCAUAUCAAAGCAACCAGUGAGCAAGCACAAUUGGUGACUUUAGCAUAUGCUUCAGAUACGUAGUCCUCCAUGAAAGCUGAACUGAUGAUAAAGGAUGAUAUGCUGCUGGUGAAUGGGUGACCUAUAAAAAGUUGAAUUAAUCCGUUGAUGCAUAGUAUUUUGCUCUAUACACGAAAUUAUGUUACAUACCUGCAUCAAUUAUCUGAUGAUUAUGGUCAAAUAGGGUGGGUGUAUGGCUGAAUUUCAUGUGCCUCUCAUUUUUUUUUUGGGGAUUUGAUGAAUCAGAUACCUCUGGACUCUGGUGGUGAUACAUUACUGUGCUUGCAUCGCUUCAUUCAAGACAUAGCCACCUCGGGAUGCCUUCCUUGAUGAUAAGACUCGGAGAACCUCUGGAUAGGGUCACUGUCGAGUGUUUUGCCCUGCUCGUGCGUGAGGAUGCAGAUGCAUAUAGUAAUCAGGUCUGCAACUUCCGCAUCGCGAUUUAAACCAAGAUGAAUGAAUGCUAAAGGAUCACGGAAGGCAGGAAGGUGGCAUGGUUCUCGGACAUCCAUGGGGACAUCACUAAUGGCCACUGGCAGACCAUGAGGUGGUAGAUACCAGCGGCCGACAUCUGGGAGCAUCUCAUCCGGACUCACGCCCAAUCCGCAAGCAUCAGCUAGUAGCAAUGAGCAAAUGUGCAACGAUGUGUACAGUAGAGAGGAGAAAGUGUGGCAGCCUCUCUUUUCAGUUAUGCAGUAAAGGGUGGAUCGGAGUGUCGAUUCCAUGGUUGCCAAAUGCUAUAUGAGCUAGCCUAUGGAACACCAGGUGCUCAUGGAGCUGGCUCCUUGGAAGCUCAGCCUCAGGCAAGUUAGGUGAGCUAGCUCCCAUCUCUUGGUAAUUGGUCACUUUAUUAUUUGUUGAUCGAUUUACACUUUCAGUGGUUUUAUAUUAAACAAGUCUUUUGUCAGUAGGAAAAAUGUAUAGUAACAGGAUUUAUGAUCCUUAUGUGUUGGCUAGUGAAGGAGGGUUUCUUUAGCUAGGACUGUCACUCUAUUCUAGUAAAAAUCUCUUCCAGAGUUCAUUAUUAUGUGCAAUAUGGAGAAAGAAUGUGCAGAAAUGAUGCACUCCUUAGCAGUGAUCAUAGCGAUAUGGAGAAAGAAUGUUCAGUCCUUUGCUGCUGUGUAGUAAAUUUCAUUUUUUUUUGUUUUAUCCGAGCAAAAUAUCUGACCAACAGUCUCUCUCCUUCCUACCUACGACAAAUCCACCCAUUCAUCUUCAGGAUCAGGAUGCUUUUUAGAACAUCUUUCUCUUUAGUUCCUUUUUAUGUCAGUUUACUAUUCUAUUUCUCCCAAUUUAUUCUGCUUUAAUGGGAUUAAAUUUCAGAUGGCAUAAUGAUGAAAAUAUCCCUUCAUGUUUGUUGUCAA
Panicum virgatum (switchgrass) is the source of this 1977-nucleotide long non-coding RNA. RefSeq lists it as uncharacterized. The transcript has 11 exons. The record is from RefSeq and is a predicted model, not a curated record. Lineage: Eukaryota; Viridiplantae; Streptophyta; Magnoliopsida; Poales; Poaceae.